AUCGCUAGUAAUCGUAGAUCAGAAUGCUACGGUGAAUACGUUCCCGGGCCUUGUACACACCGCCCGUCACACCAUGGGAGUGGGUUGCAAAAGAAGUAGGUAGCUUAACCUUCGGGAGGGCGCUUACCACUUUGUGAUUCAUGACUGGGGUGAAGUCGUAACAAGGUAACCGUAGGGGAACCUGCGGUUGGAUCACCUCCUUACCUAAAGA
RNAcentral lists this ribosomal RNA (211 nucleotides) under Serratia marcescens. RNAcentral's name for it is "partial 16S ribosomal RNA". It matches the Rfam family "Bacterial small subunit ribosomal RNA", at positions 1331 to 1533 of the family's 1533-position model. Lineage: Bacteria; Pseudomonadati; Pseudomonadota; Gammaproteobacteria; Enterobacterales; Yersiniaceae. The record is from RNAcentral.